CUGACAUGUUACAGCGUGCACCUUACAAAAGACUUCAGCACUUAACUUACUAGUUUCGAUGCACUACUCUUCAUGUCUUCUACCUGAUUUAUGGCAGUAUUUUCAAUAUCAGAAUCAUUUAAAUAUAAAAAAGUACAUUACUGGUUGUUUAGCUUUCCUCCCUAGUUGUUUCCUGUUUAUAAUUCUCCAACAUUUUGUGGGUUUAAGACCGCGGCUGAACUCUAAAAGGGACUUUUGUCUGUUCCUGUCUCACUGCUCGAUGAACACAUUACCUCACAAUUAUAUAAUGGGGGGGAAAAAAGGGAAAACAUCUGUGUGCAGCUGAGGAAUGCUGGGUUGGCUUCUGUGGUUUCCCCCAAGGAGGAUGUGUUGAGAAAUGUGGACCGGGAGUAUUUGUUGUGUUUGGAAGAAAGACAUGUUAGUCAGUUAGACGGACCAUUUAAAUACCAAAGUUUUAGCCCUUAAAAAAACAAAUGUAAAGGUAUCAUACUAUACAAAAUACAAUAAAAGUCCAUCCUCUUUAUCUUCUGUCUGCUCCACUUUUCAUAAAAUCUGGUAACCCUUUGUUCUGCCCUCUGAGUCUGCCUUCUCACCGUAAACAAUACGGCAUGGUGCAAGAAAGUCAGAGCAACCCAAGCCCUCCCAGAGAGGGGGCGGGGUCAGACGGCUAAAGGCCCUGACACACCAAGGAGAUCGGCGGUCAGUGAGAGGAAUCUCUCUGAUUGGCUCUUAGGAGGUUUCAAAUUACUCCAGCUUUCAACACUGGUUCGGGAAAGCUCUUGAGCAUGCCGCUGUAGUCUCCAUGCUUUCACCCAUUAGUGCGGUUUCUCCUUAUUUGUCACCUCUGCCUAUUCUUUUCUUUUUCCAUUAAAAGACCAAGGGCCGACAACGCCAGCGCCAUUUUCUACUUUUUAUUUAUUUAUUUAUGUGUUUGUUUAUUUAACAUGGACAUACAGUAACAUUGGUGCUGUAACAUUUAACCAUGCACAAGUUCCAGAUGCACUGCUCUUAUGCAGCAGCUGCGGAACGUGGCUAAGCAGCAGGCUGUGCAGUUCGAUUUGUG
Labrus mixtus (cuckoo wrasse) is the source of this 1063-nucleotide long non-coding RNA. RefSeq lists it as uncharacterized. Lineage: Eukaryota; Metazoa; Chordata; Actinopteri; Labriformes; Labridae. The transcript is spliced from 2 exons. The record is from RefSeq and is a predicted model, not a curated record.